Molecule: ribosomal RNA, 484 nt
Filed under: uncultured bacterium
Lineage: Bacteria
Description: partial 16S ribosomal RNA
Rfam family: Bacterial small subunit ribosomal RNA
Source: RNAcentral
AUUGAACGCUGGCGGCAUGCUUUACACAUGCAAGUCGAGCGGCAGCGCGGCCUUCGGGCUGGCUGCGAGCGGCGAACGGGUGAGUAAUGCAUCGGAACAUGCCCAGCUGUGGGGGAGAACACCUCGAAAGAAGUGCGAAUACCGCAUACGUCCUGAGGGGGAAAGCGGGGGAUCGCAAGACCUUGCGCGAUUGGGGUGGCCGAUGUCAGAUUAGCUAGUUGGUGGGGUAAAGGCCUACCAAGGCGACGAUCUGUAGCUGGUCUGAGAGGAUGAUCAGCCACACUGGGACUGAGACACGGCCCAGACUCCUACGGGAGGCAGCAGUGGGGAAUUUUGGACAAUGGGGGCAACCCUGAUCCAGCCAUUCCGCGUGAGUGAAGAAGGCCUUCGGGUUGUAAAGCUCUUUCGGCGGGAACGAAACGGUGGGCUCUAACAUAGUCCGCUAAUGACGGUACCUGAAGAAGAAGCACCGGCUAACUACGUG